This 484-nucleotide ribosomal RNA is filed under the name uncultured bacterium. Its description in RNAcentral is "partial 16S ribosomal RNA". It matches the Rfam family "Bacterial small subunit ribosomal RNA", at positions 30 to 507 of the family's 1533-position model. The record is from RNAcentral.
AUUGAACGCUGGCGGCAGGCCUAACACAUGCAAGUCGAGCGGAUGAAGGGAGCUUGCUCCUGGAUUCAGCGGCGGACGGGUGAGUAAUGCCUAGGAAUCUGCCUGGUAGUGGGGGAUAACGUCCGGAAACGGGCGCUAAUACCGCAUACGUCCUGAGGGAGAAAGUGGGGGAUCUUCGGACCUCACGCUAUCAGAUGAGCCUAGGUCGGAUUAGCUAGUUGGUGGGGUAAAGGCCUACCAAGGCGACGAUCCGUAACUGGUCUGAGAGGAUGAUCAGUCACACUGGAACUGAGACACGGUCCAGACUCCCACGGGAGGCAGCAGUGGGGAAUAUUGGACAAUGGGCGAAAGCCUGAUCCAGCCAUGCCGCGUGUGUGAAGGAGGUCUUCGGAUUGUAAAGCACUUUAAGUUGGGAGGAAGGGCAGUAAGUUAAUACCUUGCUGUUUUGACGUUACCAACAGAAUAAGCACCGGCUAACUUCGUG